This 366-nucleotide long non-coding RNA is filed under the name Gallus gallus (chicken). RNAcentral describes it as "long non-coding RNA NONGGAT004672". The record is from RNAcentral. Lineage: Eukaryota; Metazoa; Chordata; Aves; Galliformes; Phasianidae.
CCAAGGAUGGCAAAGUGGUCUGCACGCUGAAAGAGUUCAAUGAGUACAGGCAGUACCUGACCAGGCUGAAGCUGGAGCGCGAGCAAACAAAGAGGCGAGAAGAGGUAGGCAAAGCCCAGUGUUGGCAGGCACGUGUCAGUGGCAUGGCACCGAGGGCACGGGCUUUACUCGAUGGAUCUGAGGGAGAUGGGGAAUGCAGAAAAGGUGAGGGCUGGGCUGGUGGGCCAGGCCCUGAGGUAUGGAAAGAAUAACCCAGCUUGGGGCUGAGUUAUCGUAGCGUGCUGGCGUGAGUUGACCUGGAAAGUUGCUUGCUUGCACACAGAGCACUGUGGCAGCCAUUCUCUCCUGCCCUCAUUGCAUGGCUGA